RNAcentral lists this ribosomal RNA (466 nucleotides) under uncultured bacterium. RNAcentral's name for it is "partial 16S ribosomal RNA". It matches the Rfam family "Bacterial small subunit ribosomal RNA", at positions 28 to 507 of the family's 1533-position model. The record is from RNAcentral.
GACGAACGCUGGCGGUGUGCUUAACACAUGCAAGUCGAACGGUAAGGCCCUUUCGGGGGUACACGAGUGGCGAACGGGUGAGUAACACGUGAGUAACCUGCCCUCAUCUCUGGGAUAACAGUCGGAAACGGUUGCUAAUACUGGAUAUGAGCUUGCAAGGCAUCUUGUGGGUUGGAAAGAUUUUUUUGGUUGGGGAUGGACUCGCGGCCUAUCGGCUUGUUGGUGAGGUAGUGGCUCACCAAGGCUUCGACGGGUAGCCGGCCUGAGAGGGCGACCGGCCACAUUGGGACUGAGAUACGGCCCAAACUCCUACGGGAGGCAGCAGUGGGGAAUAUUGCACAAUGGACGGAAGUCUGAUGCAGCAACGCCGCGUGCGGGAUGACGGCCUUCGGGUUGUAAACCGCUUUCAAUUGUGACGAAGCUUUUUGUGACGGUAGCAGUAGAAGAAGCACCGGCUAACUACGUG